Long non-coding RNA from Leopardus geoffroyi (Geoffroy's cat), 9311 nucleotides. RefSeq lists it as uncharacterized. The record is from RefSeq and is a predicted model, not a curated record. Lineage: Eukaryota; Metazoa; Chordata; Mammalia; Carnivora; Felidae. The transcript is spliced from 4 exons.
CACGGUGUCUUAUACUGGUCACGCGGACCAAUCGGCGCCCGCGCCUGGCGGAAGAGGCGGAGCGAGAAGCUCCUGCGAGGACCACCAGGGCGCCUGCGCACAAAGCGUGACUGGCUUGUUAGCGAGUUCAGAAAGUUGGUGGGUCCGCGCUUGCAGUGGCGUCUUCUCUUGGUUCAGCUGAAACGCAGGGCUCAUGAACAGUAAAAAUAUUUUUAGGAAAAAGUUAUCUAGGUAAAUGGACGUCACUCGCACGUACUGUAUCCCAUGUAACAGUAUUUAGGCAUUUAAUGACGUCGGCAGCCUCCCCCAGCUGGCUGUGACCACUUGGAGCGCAGGAGCUAAAUUUCAGCCCGGAGGGCUCGCUUGCUUAGCGCAGCGUCUCGGAUAAAAUAAGUGAUUUAAGAGGAAGCGAGAAGCGUGUUCGGAGAGCAGUAGCAUUUGAGCACCUAUAUCCCAGGAAUUGAGCCACACUCUACAAGGAUUCAUUUAAUCCCGACACAGCCUAAGAGAUAUCUUUGGAACCUUCGGGGGAAUCUCUGAUCUGCACCAGCGUCUGAUGUAUCUGAGGUCUGUGGUAUUCAACAAAGCUGCAGUUCUACAGGGUGACUCUGAAGACUGCUGGCUCUGCUUGGAGACAUCACCAACACAAAUGAAAAUGUUCUCUCGUUACUGAAACCGAUAAAGAUUUUGACUUUGGCCUCAAGAGAACAAGCUGCUUUUUGCAAAUGACAGCCCUCCCCUCCGCGCAGGGAUUGCUGUACCCAGAGCGUUUAAGAAAACCAGACAUCAGUGUAAGUUGGAGGAACAGCUGUGUUCAGAAAUGGGUCUUUGCCUUUUCCUCCACAAUGGAUUGUUGACCAGAAAAUCAGAGGCCGGCAUUCAACUAAUACGUGAUAAAGAGUUGUUAUACAGUGUGAAUAGGUGUUUCAUAUAGUACCAUGGCCAAACAAAUUUGGGACACAGCAGAGCCAAAUGAAGGGUCUCUCCAACACAUCUGAUCACACUGAUCCACUGCCCCUUGCCUUCCUUAGAACUUCUCACGUGAGCUGAGUUCCACAACAAACACUUUUAAGACGGCAGCAGGUCAAACAGGUCACUUUGUACUCAAAUGGUUUCCUAAAACCUCCCACUUCUCAUUCCAAUCGGUGACAGAUUCGUUGCUCUCUAGAAACCGAGCAAUGGAAAGCAGAGCUAUGAUGAGCGAAGGACAAUGCGGUUAGCUAAACGGCCUCAUUCGAAUACAUUCAAGUUUUAUCACCACCGUGGCAUCUGGGAAAUUUGGGGGGCGGUGUUUCUCAUGCAGGGGGAGGAAGAAGAGGGUCAUCCCAUUACGAGUUUGUCACCCCCCGCAAAAUCCUCUUUGAGAUCGUGCGGUGGCGAGCAUUGCUACCAAUGGGAGUAUGGCACAUUUCCAAGGUGUAUUGAGACAAUAAAAACCUGAGGGCCGCUACAUGAAAAGACACCUUCCCAGUGAGCUCUCCAGCUCACCCUCUGCCAACCUUUUUGCCUUUCCUUUUUGACUUUGGCUGAGGCAAACCCACAUUACACUUAAUACCUAAUGGUAAUUAAUAUUUUUGAACCCACUGUCUGUAUCUAGAAGCUUCCAAAUCAGCACAUUGCAAACUGCCAUCCAAUUUUAAUUUGUAACGCUGUCCAAAAGUAUACGGUGGGACUGAGUUUGCCAAACGUAUAAAAACAUUAUGAAACGCUGGUCUUCUUUUGUUGAUGUAACAUUUUCUUUCCCAUCAUUAAGGAUGGCGAAAGAGUCACAUCACCCAAAAUUAAAUAAUCUGAAGGUCCUUCAAAUUAAUCGCCUAUAACUUUCAACUAUGUCUGAACUAAACAAACAUUUUCCUCUCCUUAAACAAAAGAGAUGUUAAAGAGCUUCAUGUCUUUGGCACCUGCUAGAAUAGGGUAUUUAAACUCUGUGCCUUUUUGCAGCAUAAAAUUGAAGUUACAGCAAGGCGAAACGGGUGCCCACAGACCCUGCUGGAGUAAAAUUCCACUAGGAGUGUCAGAUUAUCGCCCCAAACCAAAUUUUGUCAUGCAGCGGGCAAUUAAUGUACCAAAAAUUUACCAGCCCAUAUAAUUUUAUCAGUCUACCUUUCCCCAGAGGAAGUAAAUAAACAGUAAAACUAAUGAAAUCAUAUUUCUUGACCACUCUCAGCCAAUAUAAAUUUUUACUUGUCCUCAGAGGGUUGGACGAUGAGCUAUUCGUGAGGCCAUUCAAGUUUCUGGGCCAGUUAACCACAGAGGCAGUAUUCUAAGUUUUGAGGGUGUUCCUGAGUCAGCAAAGAGGAUCCUGCUUUGUGAUGGACAGCCCCUCAAGUCAGUAGCAAGUGCAGAUCAGGGGUUGAUGGGCGUCUGCUACAGUUUUGCAUCAGCAUUUCUGAACUCUCUGAAAACAGCACGAAAUACUAAACUUUAACUCCUAAGGCAACAGAUGAGAAAAUGCUCAGUGUGCUACUCUUGUGCAGAGUAGACAGCAGGGGAUACAUCCUUAGGUGGCGAGUUGCUGAAAAUUAGGUCAACUGCAACAAAGCUGAGAGGCCCGGUGCCUUCUGGAACUCAUGACGCCAGCAUUUUUCCCAUUUGGCCUGUGGCCCUUCUGCAUUAGGAUCACCUGGGGACUUCCUCAGAUUCAGGGCAAAUCUCCUCCAAAAGACCUACAUCUUAAACUACUAACACAGAAUCCCCUGAUUUGGCCUGGGAAUCCGCACUGGUCGCCAACUCACCAAAUGUGUCUGAUUCGCAGCAAAGCUUGAGGAUCACUGUAGUUGACCAACCCUUUACAAGGUCUUUGACAUCCUCUGCCCAGGAACACUAAACUUUGCAGCACCUUUGAAAUGCUGAAGCAAUAUUAAAUGGAUAGCAUCCCCAAAUAGAGCCAUGCCAUUGGUUUACACAGUGACAGAUGAGCACAGCCAACUGGAAUUAACUCAGCCGGCUCCCAUGCCUCACACAUUUGAUCUGCACUGCAUAAUACUUUGCAGCAUCGAAUUGGCAACGAGAAAACAGAACAAAACAGAACACAGACACCCAGCCAUGUGGCCUUUAGAGAAAAUCCAAAUCCACGUGACAUGGGAAUUGGCACUUUAAGGCACAACAGACUUGUGGGAAAGAGGACUCUUCUAUUCAUUCAUUCAUUCCCUUCACUAGGUGGGGAAAGGAAGAAGCCCCCUCCCCAAACCAGGUCUCUUCAUCCUGAAGUGUCUCCCCAGUCCCCAGGGUUCCCACAGACCCAGCUUCCUCUUACUCCGCCCCCUCCACCCCCCCCCACCCCCCGCUGAUCUUUCUGGCUCAUUCUCCUCCCACCGUGGAGGUCUUGGCAGGAGCUGUGCCAUGUGGGACUCAACAAAUGAAGCAGGGUCCGUUUUCAAAGGGUAACACUACAAGAGUAGUAAAGCUUCAUCCGGCCACUUAAUAGGAAGGCUUCUAACUGCCUUAUUUUAAAUAAAUUUAAGACUUAAUGAACUAUUAAGGAUUCGCCUGAACAAGGACUUACUUGAACCCAUCUUCCCCUUUUAAAAUCACAGUUAUAGAAUAAGUGCACAUUGAGAGACAUUUCCCCAGUUAAAUACCUUAUUGACAUGAACGCACUCAAAAAUGCCAAGACAUCAACCACCGUGAAUAUUUUAGACCUUGGUGAACAGGUACCACUAGGCACUUAUGGUGCUUAGGAGGUUGUAGCUUAAUGUUGACAUCUGGCAUGAAAAGCUUAUGGUCUGAAUCAUGUUUCUUUUUUAUGUAAUUCUGGCUCAGGAAUCCGAUACAGAGCAGCUGAGAAAUAAAUUAUGUUGCUGAGGCUGAAGAUGAGGCACAGAAGUACAGCUCCAGCUAUCUGAGGGAAAGACAGGGGCCUCGAGUUGGCCAGGAGCCAUUCCCUCCUCAGAGUCUUAUCCAGAACAAUGGCUUCCAUCUGCAGGUGUGUGGCCAGGAUCACACACACGUGGAACAGCUGGUGACUGUGACCUACGGCGAACACAGAAAAGGCUGCCAGGAUCAGCAACAAAAAACGAACAGGGGCCCCUGGGUGGCGCAGUUGGUUAAGCUUCCAACUCUUGAUUUCGGCUCAGGUCACGAUCUCACAGUUUGUGAGUUCGAGCCCCGCAUUGGGUUCUGCGCUGACAGAGCAGAGCCUGCUGGGGAUUCUCUCUCUCUCCCUCUCUCUCUGCCCCUCCUGUAUCUCUCUCUCUCUCUCUCUCUCUCAAAAUAAAUAACUAAACUUUUUUUUUUUUUUAAAGGAAUAGACUGCUGAUACUGUUCCAUGGUGUAUAGGCUAAAAACAUUAUGCUGGGUAAAGAAGCUAGACACAAGGGACCACAUAUUGUCAGAAUCCAUUUAUAUCAAAUGUCCAGGAAAGGCAAAUCCACAGAUGCAAAGUAGGUUAGUGGUUUCUUCAGGCAGGGGGUAGGAAUCAGGAUUAAUAAGACAUGGGCAGGAGGGAUCUUACCGGGGUGAUGAUCAUGUUCUAAAACUCAUUUGCGAUGAUGGGGAUUCAAUUUGGGGGGUUAACUAAAAAUAUCACUGAAUUGUAUCCUUGAAAUCAGGGAACCAUGUGAUACGUAAAAUAUGCCUCCAAACAUUUAUUUGUUUUUUAAAUGUUUGUUCAUUUAUUUUUGAGACAGACAGCAUAAGCAGGGGAAGGGCAGAGAGAGAGGAAGACAGAGAAUCCCAAGCAGGUUCCGCACUGACAGCACAGAGCCCUACAAGGGGCCUGAAAUCGCCAACCAUGAAAUCGUGACCUGAGCCGAAACCAAGAUUCUGAUGCUCAACCAACUGAGCCACCCAGGCGCCCCAACAUUUUUUUUUAAUGCAGUGUGAGAAAAAUUAAAAGGCCCGAGUACAUUUUUUCAACUUGUCCACCAGUCCUGUUUUCGCAUGAAGUCUGGCAUCAUGUUCUCCCAAAGUUCACCUCUUCAGAACCAGCACUCAUCAGCUCCAAUUCUGAGGCCAACGGAGAAGCCAACCAGACUUUCUAUUGGCCAGUUACAAGGUAGCCCUCUCCUUACUGCUGGUUAAUCCCAGACAUGACCAGGGGCUCUUCCUCCCUGAUGACCUUCAGGACCUUGGCUCACCAGCUAUGUGUCCACAGAGGGGAGGACCCAGCAGAGGGGGGUGGUAGUGGGCGGGAACAUGCUGAGUUGGUAGUGAUGAGAAAAAGAGUCCAUUGCCCAGGGCCGAGGACUGUUUGGGGACAACCCUCAGAAAUCAGAAGAUGAAAAGAGAACAAAGACAGCAUGUGUCAUGGGCUGAGUUGUGUCUCCCUUCCCCCAGUUCCAAAUGUUGAAGUCCCAAUGCCCAGUACCUCAGAAUGUGACCGUAUCUGGAGACAGGAUCUUUUAUUAUUUUAAGUUUAUAUAUUUAUUUUGAGAGAGAGAGGGAGAGAGGCAGAGGGAGGGGCAGAGAGAGAGAGAGAGAGGGAGAGAGAGAAAAUCCCAAGCAGGCUCCGUGCUGUUGACAGCAGUGAGCCUGAUGUGGGGCUUGAACUCACGAACCACAAGAUCAUGACCUGACACUCAACUGACCGAGCCACCCAGGUGCCCUGUGACUGGUACACUUCUAAGAGGAGGAAGUUAGGACCUGGGCAUGAAUGUACACAGAGGAAAGACCACGUGAGGAGAGACAGAGAAGACGGCCGUCUGCAAGCCAGGGAGAGAGCCAGGAGAGAGACGGACCCAGCCCCCACCUUGGUCUCAGCCUCCAAAAUUAUGAGAAAAUGCGUUUCUGUUGUUUAAGCCACUCAGUCUGUGAUUCUUUGUUAUGGCAGUCCUAGCAAACAGACACAACACAAGAGUUAAGGAUUCUCUUUCAUUAAAAGAGAGAGAGAGAGAGAGAGAGAGAGAGAGAGAUUCCUGCAAUCUGGCUGGACAGGAAUAUGGAGGAACUUCCUACAGGCAGGGCCAGCGCUAACCAGUUAGCACUCUGCCCCACGUCGGAGAGGCAAUCCCACAUCUGGCAGACCCCAUUAUUGUGGGACGGAUCAUUUUCCAAACCCGUUGUUAAUGACCUGUCAUUAACAGUUGUCUGGCAAAUGUCUGGCCAAUGGAGGGGUGUCUCUGGGUUCUGUUCCCCUAGGCCCAAGAGAGUGGGAUUAAAAGUGAAUAAAUGAAAUGUUAUUAAGACACCUGGGAGUGGGUAAAACAAGGCCAGGGCUAUUUUUUCCUGCAGUCCCCGGACUUCAUUUACAACCACCGAUACUUUGUCUAGGUGGGGCUCGAGAGGUGGACAGGGCUCCUGUAGACAAGUUCCAACUCCAUGGCCCUCUCGUCUCCCCCAACCCCUCACCUUUUUGUUUGAAAUUUACCCUCCAAGCAUUUUGGUCCUUGGUGUCCCUUCUGAUAGGACAGAAUCGAAGCAAAGGAGAUGAAGCUCUUUUCAGAGCCAAUAAAGCAAAUCUGGCCACAUGUCUUAGGUGGGAGGAGAUGAAAAAUAUCACUGGAGAAAUGGGCUUGGGGAGAACCAGGGUCCCUGCCCACCAUUUAAGGAUAAGGGCUGACCCUUGAACCCCCAUGACAGCGUAUCUAGGGAGCUCUCAUCUCAAGGACUCCUCAGCCUCACCAGAAGUGGCCCAAGGGUCCCUCCUCCAGCCAGUGCCCGACCUGCUUCCCUAGACAGAGAGGGAAGGCGCUCUCCCAGCAGGUAGAAGUCCUCUGGCUCUGACAGCUCCUCUCCAGCACAUCACUUCUCUAACGGCGGUGAGCUCAGGUUCCCCUGGAGAGUCACCCAGCCUCUGAGUGAGACACCCCGAGCUUCUGGUUCGGGAUGUCCGGGGGCCUGAGAAUCUGAGAAUUCCCAGAUAAUGCUAAAUGCUGAUGCUCCAGGGGCCACACCUGAGAACCAAGACUCCUGGCCCCACUGCAGCCGCCUGAACGAGACGAAGACACGCUCCCCUCCUUGGCACAGCCCCUGCCAUCUGUCAGCCUCGGGGCCAUCUGCACUCGGUCUGUCUUGAUCCUCUCCAGGGCUGCCCUCGAUGUCCAUUUAAUCCUGGGAUUUCAUCUUCGGGGUAAUAACGGGACUCCCUAGGCCCCAUAGCCCAUAGGAAUGCCUUAGAAUCCUAGAUGCACCUGUUCUCCAUCCUCCCAUCCUACCUGGCCAUUUGCUGGCUACGUACAUCCUGGCCUCCAUUGCCUUACAGUUUCACUUCCCUUGGCCUGCUCCGAGAGAAGCCCCUGGGGAACUGCGUCUCUCCAUGCCCCUGCUUCCCCUUUGAGACCGCAUGCACUGGCGUCCUGGUGGCAGGGAGACAACGGGGCCGCCGCGCACUCACCGAUGUAGUCGAAGCGUCCAGGCGCCAGGCGCUCUGGCAGGUGUGCGGAGUAGAAGAAAGAGGCCAGGAGGGUCAUGGCCGUGUGCUUCUGGUGGUACAAGGCGGCUUCAUUCUGCGCACCAUCCCCCGAAAGCAGGAACAGCUGCAGGGAUUCAGAGGAACAUCAGGUCUCGAGAGGAGGCCCCCUUCCUUCUCAUCACCCGAAGCCAUCUCUGCACACGCGUGCGGGCACCACGGGCCAAGGCCCUCACCUCCUUGGUCUGUGGCUCGGAAGGGGAACUCUCAGGGACCGUGGGAGCAGAAUUCCUAUUCCUUUUCUUUUUUUAAUAUUAAAAAAAUUUUUUUUUAGGUUUAUUUAGAGAGAGAGAGAGAGAGAGUGCAGGGGAGGGGCAGAGAGAAAGGGAGAAAGAGAAUCCCAAGCAGGCUCCGCACUGUUAGCACAGAGCCCAAUGCGGGGCUCAAAGUCACAAACUGCGAGAUUAUGACCUGGGCCGAAAUCAAGAGUCGGACGGACACUUAACCGACUGUGGCACCUAGGUGCCUCUUAAUAUUUUUUUUAAUGUUUAUUCAUUUUUGUGUGAGAGAGAGACAGAGCGCAAAUAGGGGAGGGGCAGAGAGAGAAAGAGACCCAGAAUCCGAAGCAGGCUCCCAGGCUCUGAGCUGUCAGCACAGAGCCCGAACCGGGGCUCGAACUCACAAACCAUGAGAUUAUGACCUGAGCCGAAGUCAGAUGCUUAACCAACUGAGCCACCCAGGCUCCCCCAUAAUUCUGACUGUGAUCUUUUGAGAGACCCAAGGCAACUGUAUUUUAUUUUACUUUUUCUCCCCGCAGGGCAGCUGUAUUUUAAUCCUCUAAAUGUCCAUAAAGCCUUUUGGGUUGUUUAAUUACGAAAGAAAAGGAAAGAAAUCAAGGAAAAGGAAAAGAAAAAUCCUACUAGAUCUAUUUGCUACUCUUUUGUCUGGGGGUAAAAUGUAAGUAUAGUAAAAAGUGGUCUAGUCACCCUUGAACUCACUUCUCACCAGCGCAUCCCCUGAUUUCAAGCUCCUAAUUAAGGCUUUAAAGCCUAGAAAUCCCUGGAAGGCCUUUCUGAGUCAUCAAAACGUGUUAAUUACAGCCAUUAUCCUGUUUGAGAGCUAAGUAUAGUUUUUGUAUUACCGUUAUAAUGACAGCAGCCAUCACUUACCUAGGGCACUAAGCCAGCCUUUUAUUUGCACAAUUUCAUCACAGCCUCAACAACUACCAAAACAUCCCACUUUGCCGAUGAGGAAGCUGGGCCAGAGGGUGACUUGCAAACCACUAAUCAGCAGUGAAGUCAGGAUGUGGAUCCAGGCAGGCUGAUUCCAGAACCGAUGCUCUCGUCAACUUCCCCGCUCACGAUCAGACCUCCUGGCCCCUUCUCCGCCCCCUGUCUGACUCAGCUGGUGCUCCUAAUAACGCAGACCUGUGCUAUGCGAUUUGGUGGCAUGUGGGAACGGCUUGCUCUCUGCUCUGGUUUCCUAUGGGUGUUCUGUGUCGUUGAGGAAGGAGUCAGGGGAAUGGGCCGCACCCACGCCUCUGGGUCUCCCCCCAAUCCCAGGCUCACACAGGUGGCGCCGGCUCUGGCCCUCCCCUUCGGUACCCUGACUUGCGCAUCAAACUUCAAGCUGCCCCUGGGAGGGAAACUCCACUCACUAGGUGCAGGCCCUCUGCCGGGCAUUGCUGAGCCCUCCGAUCUGCUGAUUUGAUUAAGCCCCUCUACCCCUCUGUGCGGGAGAGGAUGUCAGCCUCAUUAACAGAUGAAGAAACUGAGGCUCAGAGAGAUCAGGUGCAUUCCCUAAGGUCACAGAGCCAGUGCGCGCUGGGAUUUGAACUCAGGUCCAUCCGAUUUGUGAGUGCCUCUCCCCUUUCUUGUGUCCCUCCUACACCCCCUUGCUUCAUGUUCUCCAAUUCCCAUCUAUCUUACGACCUUCAUUUAUCCUUUUUCCUUCGCUGCUAGUAUGUUAGUUGAUAAUAAUACAGAAUAAAUGCAUUUAUUGGCCACUUGCCACGAGCCAGCGA